AUCCUAAUGUUGCUAUUAAAGUAUACAUUCAGGACAACAUUCAUAGACUUAGUCCCUUGAUGAUCACCAUUCGACUAUGUUCACUGACAUCAGAAGAUCUAUACUACUAUUACUAAACAAAAAAAAAUGUGUGCGUGUACUAGUGUACACACGUAAGAAGUGAAACUUUUUUAUGGCCUUAUUUUUCGAAAAAUGAUCUACAUGCAACUUUCUAGAAAUUGGUUAAAUAAAGUUAAAUUAGAUAAAGUUUAAACAAAAGGAUUUUAUUAUCAUAGACAUGAAUACAAAAAAGAUGGCGCGUAACGGAAAAAUGUGACGCGUAACCGAAAAAUGUGACGGUAAAUUUUUUUCCAACGCCGAUAAAGAAGUUUCACUUCAAAAAUUUAAAUUAGAUAAAGUUUAAACAAAAGCAUUUUAUUAUCAUAGACAUGAAUACAAAAAAGUUAAAUUAGAUAAAGUUUAAACAAAAGGAUUUUAUUAUCAUAGACAUGAAUACAAAAAAGAUGGCGCGUAACGGAAAAAUGUGACGCGUAACCGAAAAAUGUGACGGUAAAUUUU
Bombyx mori (domestic silkworm) is the source of this 558-nucleotide long non-coding RNA. RefSeq lists it as uncharacterized. The record is from RefSeq and is a predicted model, not a curated record. The transcript is spliced from 2 exons. NCBI's taxonomy places the organism in Eukaryota, Metazoa, Arthropoda, Insecta, Lepidoptera, Bombycidae.